This 67-nucleotide transfer RNA is filed under the name Marmota monax (woodchuck). RNAcentral's name for it is "tRNA.Phe". The record is from RNAcentral. Lineage: Eukaryota; Metazoa; Chordata; Mammalia; Rodentia; Sciuridae.
GGAUUGUGGCUCAGCGGUAGAGCACUUGCCUAAAAUGAGAGGGACAUGGGUUCGAUCCUCAGCACCA